UUAUAUUGAAUAAAAUGAAAAUAAAUAGUUUUAAUACUUUGAAUAGUAAAUUUGCAAAUUUCAAACCCCACAACGUUACAACAAAUAUCUCUCUCCUUUUUUCUCUUUCUUCUUUUUAAAACUCACAAGAAUCAUCUAACCAUUUUUGCUAUGGCGUGGGAUCCUCGAUGGUGUCAGAGCCAUCGACUCAGCUGUCUUGGUAUGUUGACACAUUUAUUCUAGGUGGUGGUGGUGUGUGUUAACGGCUUGGCGUGUGAUGACGAGUCGUCUAUGGCUCAAUCUCUUUCCUUGUUUCGUGAUGCUUCCUCCUUGCUCUUCUUCUAGUUUCGUCUCUUCUUAGUGCACUCAAGGUAGUCGUCCCGAAGGUUUACCAUUGGGUUUCUCAUUGGUUCUACUAGCGGCUAUUCUAUUUUCUCUAGUCAAGCUUUUGGUUCCGUUUUUCGCCGUUUCUCAUGGACUAUCGUUAACGAGUCUUUUUCCUCUGUGCAUCAGUUUGGUCAGGUCUCUAUUCUUCUGAGGAGUAUAACAUCCUUGCUCCAGAGUUCCUCCUCUCUGCGAGUGCAUUCGGGUGGUUGUGAUUUUCCGGCGAUUGUAGGUCUUAGUGGCAUUUGGUAGGGACUGCGGUUACCUCCCAACCCUCUUGCUCGCCGGUUUCUUUAGAUCGUCGUUUGUAAGUAUUGUGUUGUUGUAUUAUCGGAACUGGAGCUUCAGUGUCAAAAAAUAAAUUAAAUAUUAUUAUUAAAAACUUACAAAUUUGAAGAAUUGGGGAAUUGAAAUCAUAUUGAAAAGCAAAUAAUCUUGAAAUUUAAAAGUUUUAAAACAUGUUAAAAAUGCUGAAAGGAUCACUAUGUUUAGGUGAAUAUGCGUGCUUUUCUUGAGUAUUCUUGAUAAACCAGUGUUUAUAUACUAAAAAGAUGGUUAACGUGGAUUUUAUGAGUAUGUCCAAUAUAAAAACUUGUAGUUUGAUGGAAUGGAAUAUAAAUGGUAAGGAUUACGAUCUAACAUAAUGAAGGUAUAAUAAGUGGAAAACCUAGGAUAGUUUUUAAUUGGGUCAUGAAGGAGUUUUACUCUAAAUUUAGUGGGAUAAAAAUAUUUUUUUCGUCAUUUUAUUAUCAUUAAUCAAUAAAAUUUUAAUUUAAAAUAUAAUUUAUUUAAGAUUUAAGGGUGUUACUUGAACCCAACAUGAUCAUUGGGGGUUCUUAGAGUGGGGUUGUUAGCGGAAUAUAAGAACUCGUCUCUUAACUUUUAACUAAAAAAGUUAAGACCUGGCUCUUAAAACUCUUAUUUAAGAACCAGUUCUUAGUUUUUUUAGUUAAAAGCUAAGAGACGGGUUCUUAUAUUCCGAUAAGAACUCCACCCCAAGAACUCCCAAUAAUCAUGCUCUUAGCUUUAUGUGGGUCUGCCAUUAGGUACAAUCUAACAGAAGGAUUGUAGUAUGAAAAAAAUGCAAUGCAACAGAUAAUUGCUGUCUAAUGUUAGUAUUGUGGUUUAGCGGGACAUAAUGUGAAAUAUAACAAGAGGACUAUAUUAUUAGAGAAAAAAAGAGAGUGCAUGACAAAGAUUACAGUCUAACAAUACAAAUGUGCAAUCUGACAUCACAUGAACAAGAAGUCUGAUAAAAUGAGUUUUGCAUGCCGGUACAAAAUAUGAAAUAUAACAGAUGAUUGUGGCUUGAUAGAACUAACGUGCAUUAUGAUGAAAAGGUUGCAACAUGACAGUACAUGGAAUACAAUAUUACAUGAACAAUGCAGUUUGAUGGUAUGAGAAGCACAUAUUGACGACACAAUAGUGCGGUGAAGUGACUACAAUCUCACGGUAUAAUGAGGUUAUCUGAUGGAAGGGUGAAGGUCUGAGAGAAGUAGAUUUGUAACGAUCCGCUUCCCCGUGUCCGAUCCAAGGUUCAGAGCGCGGUGUUAUAAACAUGACAAAUUAUUUUUAAAAAUUUACUUAAGAAACAAAUUUACUUAAGAAACAUGACAAAUUAUUUUUAAAAAAAAUCUAGGUUAAAUGGAAGAACACUUCAAUUUUGUUUUAGAUGAGAAUUAAUAGAUGUAAUCGAAUACCUUGUAUGAAGAAAUGUGAGAUUUUGACGAAAUUGAUGGAAGAACACUUCGUAAUUUGAUUUGACCCGUCUGAGGAAAAGGAAAAACACUUCGAUUUCGUUGUAUCUUCAGUGAGAUCAAAGAGGAGGAUGACCAAAACGAGAGUAGAGACUACGGGCAGAUGAAACACCAACGAAGAACAAGGCUUCUCUCCGUUUAACCCUAAAUCGCCAUGGAAGAGCCACGAU
RNAcentral lists this long non-coding RNA (2290 nucleotides) under Brassica napus (rape). Its description in RNAcentral is "long non-coding RNA (BNAP_LNC017431)". The stretch from base 1219 to 1343 matches the Rfam family "MIR9563 microRNA precursor family". Lineage: Eukaryota; Viridiplantae; Streptophyta; Magnoliopsida; Brassicales; Brassicaceae. The record is from RNAcentral.